Molecule: transfer-messenger RNA, 354 nt
Filed under: Gammaproteobacteria bacterium
Lineage: Bacteria; Pseudomonadati; Pseudomonadota; Gammaproteobacteria
Rfam family: transfer-messenger RNA
About the family: Bacterial tmRNA, also known as 10Sa RNA or SsrA, is named for its dual tRNA and mRNA-like properties. Its role is to liberate the mRNA from a stalled ribosome.
Source: RNAcentral
GGGGGCGAUGUGGUUUCGACGGCGGUAAUGACGCCGAAGGUGCAUGCCGAGAGGGUAGUGACUCUCGUUAAUCAAUCGCUGCAACUUUUUAUAGUUGCCAACGACGAAAACUACGCACUAGCCGCCUGACGGCUAACCCCGAUGUCCCGUUGCCUGUGGUGUGACAUCGGGGGCUCGUACACAGGAUCGCGGCCGGCAAUCGCCCCGGUGCAGGUCGCUAAACCUUAGGGGCUCGCCCAUCGACACCCUGUUCGUCGGGUCGUCAAAGGGGCUAAAGCAAUAGACGCAACUAUGCAUGUAGAGCCGACGGCCGAGUGCUGACGGACGCGGGUUCGACUCCCGCCGCCUCCACCA